AGAACGAACGCUGGCGGCAUGCCUAAUACAUGCAAGUCGAACGAAGGCUUCGGCCUUAGUGGCGCACGGGUGCGUAACGCGUGGGAAUCUGCCCCUUGGUUCGGAAUAACAGUUGGAAACGACUGCUAAUACCGGAUGAUGACGAAAGUCCAAAGAUUUAUCGCCAAGGGAUGAGCCCGCGUAGGAUUAGCUAGUUGGUGAGGUAAAGGCUCACCAAGGCGACGAUCCUUAGCUGGUCUGAGAGGAUGAUCAGCCACACUGGGACUGAGGCACGGCCCAGACUCCUACGGGAGGCAGCAGUAGGGAAUAUUGGACAAUGGGCGAAAGCCUGAUCCAGCAAUGCCGCGUGAGUGAUGAAGGCCUUAGGGUUGUAAAGCUCUUUACCCGAGAUGAUAAUAACAGUAUACGGAAGAAGUAAGCCCCGGACUAACCGUCCGUGCCAGCAGCCGC
Molecule: ribosomal RNA, 450 nt
Filed under: uncultured soil bacterium
Lineage: Bacteria
Description: bacterial SSU rRNA
Rfam family: Bacterial small subunit ribosomal RNA
Source: RNAcentral